AAGUACAAUCAAGAAGAAAUUGAAAAACAGUCAGAGUUAGAUGAUGAGCUUCAUCGUUUGUCAUGCAGGAUUUUUAUCCCCUGAAGAACCUGCUAGAGAAGUCCACCUUCACCCUUAACCACUGGUGCCUCAACUUAAUACUUUUAAAAUUCAUUUGUUUCUGUUGGAAUUGGGAUACUAAGGUCCAGAGGUGUCCUUCUAAAGCUGGUAGAGGUUUCACGAGUCAUCAGGGACCCAGAACCCUUCUCUUUUGCUGUCCCUUUGUCCUAGUGCAUGGUUUCCACACUGUGGUGCAAGAUGUCUCCUCAAGCUCUAGGCAUUACAUCUGCUAUCCUGCUGUCAGAAAGAAGGAAGGGGAAAAGAAGAUCAUUUCCUUCUCUUUAAGGACAUUUCCCAGAAGUCACACAGAACAUUUCCAUUUAUAUUACUUUGGCCAGAACUUGGUCAUAUGGCCACAUUUAGUUCCAGAAUGAUUAGGAAAUGCAGUCUUUUAUUGAUCCCUGUGCCCAGGAAAAUAUUGGAGGCCUUUUUCAAGGAAAAAGGGGAAAACAGAUAUUGGUUGACAAAUAGCAGUCUCUGCCAUACUGUCCCUGGAUACAUGUCUUUGAGUGAAUGUCCCUUAUUUACCAUUCUGAUUACUUGUUGGAUAUUUUCAAUAUGUGUUACAAUAUGGUUCCAAAAUUGUAUGUGAUAUUCCAACAGCAAGUUGGAUGCAAUGUGUCAUAAAAAUGACCUCAGUGUCAACCAGCAUUUGAAUACCGUGUCUCAAUGCUGUGCACCAAUAAAGAACACAGA
This 795-nucleotide long non-coding RNA is filed under the name Homo sapiens (human). RNAcentral's name for it is "non-protein coding lnc-NCR3LG1-3:3". Lineage: Eukaryota; Metazoa; Chordata; Mammalia; Primates; Hominidae. The record is from RNAcentral.